RNAcentral lists this transfer RNA (70 nucleotides) under Heterocephalus glaber (naked mole-rat). It matches the Rfam family "tRNA". Rfam says of the family: Transfer RNA (tRNA) molecules are approximately 80 nucleotides in length. Their secondary structure includes four short double-helical elements and three loops (D, anti-codon, and T loops). Further hydrogen bonds mediate the characteristic L-shaped molecular structure. tRNAs have two regions of fundamental functional importance: the anti-codon, which is responsible for specific mRNA codon recognition, and the 3' end, to which the tRNAs corresponding amino acid is attached (by aminoacyl-tRNA synthetases). tRNAs cope with the degeneracy of the genetic code in two manners: having more than one tRNA (with a specific anti-codon) for a particular amino acid; and 'wobble' base-pairing, i.e. permitting non-standard base-pairing at the 3rd anti-codon position. The record is from Rfam by way of RNAcentral. Lineage: Eukaryota; Metazoa; Chordata; Mammalia; Rodentia; Bathyergidae.
UGGUGUGUAGCUCAGUGGUAGAGCAGUUUCCUACCGUGCUCCAGGCCCUGGGUUCGAUCCCCAGCACCAA